CUGAAUAGAUAUACAUUACUUAAAUAUCAAUGGACAGAAUGAUUAAUCAUUUUUUGGCACAUUAAACAGUAGUGCAUAGCUUUUCGAACAUCUUUGUUUCGUAAAGAAUAGAUCAUGGGAUUUAACAGUGGUGUUAUCACUGAAUAAAAUACAGAUACCAGUUUGUCAUUAUUUAGGUCAUAUUUAGCUUUGGGUCUUACAUACAUAAAUAUCACAGUUCCGUAAAACAGAGACACAACAGUUAAGUGUGCGGCACAUGUAGAAAAUGCUUUUCUUGGGACUUUAGAAGGGAUCCUAGGAAUAGUGGUAAUGAUACAGACAUAGGAAGCCAUAGUCAGUAUGCAGCAUGAUAAUACAACACUCCAGGACAAAGUGAAAAAUAUCUGUUCUGUAGUCCUGGUGUCCAUACAGGACAGCUUAAGAAGUGGAGGAUAAUCACAGAAGAAGUGAUUGAUUAUGUUUGGUCCACAAAAAGGCAAACUAGAGAUAAAUGUUACAGUGAGAAUGGAAGCUACAAAGCCAC
This is a non-coding RNA of Pelobates cultripes (western spadefoot toad), 523 nucleotides long. Lineage: Eukaryota; Metazoa; Chordata; Amphibia; Anura; Pelobatidae. The record is from the annotation of a GenBank genome assembly.